UCAGCCGCGGUAAUACGGAGGGUGCGAGUCGAAACGGAAUUACUGGGCGUAAAGGGUGCGUAGGUGGUUUAAUAAGUUAUCUGUGAAAUCCCUGGGCUCAACCUGGGCAGGUCAGAUAAGACUGUUUGACUCGAGUAUGGGAGAGGGUAGUGGAAUUUCCGGUGUAGCGGUGAAAUGCGUAUAGAUCGGAAGGAACACCAGUGGCGAAGGCGGCUACCUGGCCUAAUACUGACACUGAAGCACGAAAGCGUGGGGAGCAAACAGGAUUAAAUACCCUGGUAGUCCACGCCGUAAACGAUGUCAACUACAUUGUUGGAAA
Molecule: ribosomal RNA, 319 nt
Filed under: uncultured Legionella sp.
Lineage: Bacteria; Pseudomonadati; Pseudomonadota; Gammaproteobacteria; Legionellales; Legionellaceae
Description: bacterial SSU rRNA
Rfam family: Bacterial small subunit ribosomal RNA
Source: RNAcentral